This 773-nucleotide ribosomal RNA is filed under the name uncultured Neocallimastigales. Its description in RNAcentral is "partial large subunit ribosomal RNA". It matches the Rfam family "Eukaryotic large subunit ribosomal RNA", at positions 23 to 639 of the family's 3401-position model. Lineage: Eukaryota; Fungi; Neocallimastigomycota; Neocallimastigomycetes; Neocallimastigales. The record is from RNAcentral.
AGAGAGAGACAUGCGCGCAUAUCAAUAAGCGGAGGAAAAGAAACUAACUAGGAUUCCCUCAGUAACGGCGAGUGAAGCGGGAAGAGCUCAAAUUUGAAAUCUUCAAGGUUCUACCUUGACGAAUUGUAGUUUAAAGAAGUGUUUUCUGUUGGAGUUUUGGUAAAAGUUCUUUGGAAUAGGACAUCAUAGAGGGUGAGAAUCCCGUAUUUGACCAUUAUUUCCAGCUUUGUGAUACACUUUCAAAGAGUCGGAUUGUUUGGGAAUGCAGUCCAAAAUGGGUGGUAAAUUUCAUCUAAAGCUAAAUAUUGGCGAGAGACCGAUAGCGAACAAGUACCGUGAGGGAAAGAUGAAAAGAACUUUGAAAAGAGAGUUAAACAGUACGUGAAAUUGUCAAAAGGGAAGCGUUUGACACCAGUGUUGUUUUCUCGAAAAUCAAUUAAAAAAGGCAGGAUUUUGUGUUGUAUUGACUUUAUCAGCUUUCUGCACUCUUUUCUUGUCUUUUUUAAUGCACUUUUCGUUUAACAAGUCAACAUCAAUUUCUUUUGUUGUAAAAGGGUCAUUGGAAGGUGGCUUUCUUUUCGGAGAAAGUGUUUAUAGCCUUUGCCUCUGCAAUCGGAGAGAUUGAGGUCUGCAGCGUAGAUCCUUCGGGGUUAGAUACAUUUGUGCUAAGUUAUAGCCUUUCAUAGACAACUUGUUGACUAUGAUCAGUCAUGUAGCUUACUCGCUUAUGCUAUUUUACCUACGCUUAGGAUGUUGAUGUGAUACUGCGAGCA